UGUUAAAAAUUUUAUCCAUUUGUAUUGUUAAAAACUAACGAGGCUGACAGAAUAACCAGAUAGUGAUACAUGACGUGCCACAUGUAUCUCAUGCUGACAUACAGGGGCCAAUUUUUAACAGAAUGACCAGUUUGCUUUUUUAUCU
Molecule: non-coding RNA, 145 nt
Organism: Gossypium raimondii (Peruvian cotton)
Lineage: Eukaryota; Viridiplantae; Streptophyta; Magnoliopsida; Malvales; Malvaceae
Source: Rfam